AGGUGAGUAGCUCAAUUGGCUAGAGCAUCGGAUUCCAAAUCCGAGGGUUGCGGGUUCAAGUCCUGCCUCACCUG
This 74-nucleotide transfer RNA is filed under the name Candidatus Omnitrophota bacterium. Its description in RNAcentral is "Candidatus Omnitrophica bacterium tRNA-Trp". It matches the Rfam family "tRNA". Rfam says of the family: Transfer RNA (tRNA) molecules are approximately 80 nucleotides in length. Their secondary structure includes four short double-helical elements and three loops (D, anti-codon, and T loops). The record is from RNAcentral. Lineage: Bacteria; Pseudomonadati; Candidatus Omnitrophota.